RNAcentral lists this ribosomal RNA (280 nucleotides) under uncultured bacterium. Its description in RNAcentral is "partial 16S ribosomal RNA". It matches the Rfam family "Bacterial small subunit ribosomal RNA", at positions 337 to 634 of the family's 1533-position model. The record is from RNAcentral.
UCCUACGGGGCGCAGCAGUGGGGAAUAUUGCACAAUGGGGGAAACCCUGAUGCAGCGACGCCGCGUGAGUGAAGAAGUAUUUCGGUAUGUAAAGCUCUGUCAGCAGGGAAGAAAAUGACGGUACCUGACCAAGAAGCCCCGGCUAACUACGUGCCAGCAGCCGCGGUAAUACGUAGGGGGCAAGCGUUAUCCGGAUUUACUGGGUGUAAAGGGAGCGUAGACGGCAGGGCAAGUCUGGAGUGAAAGGCGGGGGCUCAACCACCGGACUGCUCUGGAAACU